GCCCAGACUCCUACGGGAGGCAGCAGUGGGGAAUAUUGCACAAUGGGGGAAACCUUGAUGCAGCGACGCCGCGUGAGUGAAGAAGUAUUUCGGUAUGUAAAGCUCUAUCAGCAGGGAAGAUAAUGACGGUACCUGACUAAGAGGCCCCGGCUAACUACGUGCCAGCAGCCGCGGUAAUACGUAGGGGGCAAGCGUUAUCCGGAAUUACUGGGUGUAAAGGGAGCGUAGACGGUGAAGUAAGUCUGGAGUGAAAGGCGGGGGCCCAACCCCCGGACUGCUCUGGAAACUAUUUGACUGGAGUGCAGGAGAGGUAAGCGGAAUUCCUAGUGUAGCGGUGAAAUGCGUAGAUAUUAGGAGGAACACCAGUGGCGAAGGCGGCUUACUGGACUGUAACUGACGUUGAGGCUCGAAAGCGUGGGGAGCAAACAGGAUUAGAUACCCGAGUA
Molecule: ribosomal RNA, 446 nt
Filed under: uncultured bacterium
Lineage: Bacteria
Description: bacterial SSU rRNA
Rfam family: Bacterial small subunit ribosomal RNA
Source: RNAcentral